This 941-nucleotide ribosomal RNA is filed under the name uncultured archaeon. RNAcentral describes it as "bacterial SSU rRNA". It matches the Rfam family "Archaeal small subunit ribosomal RNA", at positions 6 to 922 of the family's 1478-position model. The record is from RNAcentral.
GGUUGAUCCYGCCGGACCCCACUGCUAUCGGGAUAGGACUAAGACAUGCUAGUCGAGCGCCUUCCAGCUACGACGAAGGCGCGGCACACAGCUCAGUAACACGUGGCUAACCUGCCCUCGGGACGAGAACACCCCCGGGAAACUGGGGCUAAUUCUCGAUAGGCGAAGAACUCUGGAAUGAGUCUUCACCCAAAAGACGCUUAGAUCAUGCUUCUAGACGUCGCCCAAGGAUGGGGCCGCGACCGAUCAGGUUGUUGGUGAGGUAACGGCUCACCAAGCCUUUAACCGGUGCGGGCCGUGGGAGCGGGAGCCCGGAGAUGGGCACUGAGACAAGGGCCCAGGCCCUACGGGGCGCAGCAGUCGCGAAAACUUUGCAAUAAGCGAAAGCUUGACAGGGCUAUCCCGAGUGCCAUCCGCUGAGGAAGGCUUUUACCCAGUCUAGUAAGCUGGGGGAAUAAGGAGAGGGCAAGUCUGGUGUCAGCCGCCGCGGUAAUACCAGCUCUCCGAGUGGUGUGGAUGUUUAUUGGGCCUAAAGCAUCCGUAGCUGGCUGAGUUAGUCCCCUGUUAAAUCCACCGAAUCAAUCGUUGGAUUGCGGGGGAUACUGCUCGGCUAGGGGACGGGAGAGGCAGACGGUAUUUCCGGGGUAGGGGUGAAAUCCUAUAAUCCCGGGAAGACCACCAGUGGCGAAGGCUGUCUGCUAGAACGCGCCCGACGGUGAGGGAUGAAAGCUGGGGUAGCGAACCGGAUUAGAUACCCGGGUAGUCCCAGCUGUAAACGAUGCAGGCUAGGUGUUUGGGCGGCCACGUGCCGCUCUAGUGCCGCAGGGAAGCUGUUAAGCCUGCCGCCUGGGGAGUACGAUCGCAAGAUUGAAACUUAAAGGAAUUGGCGGGGGAGCACCACAAGGGGUGAAGCUUGCGGUUUAAUUGGAGUCAACGCCGGG